GGAAUUUCAGUUUGAUUUGCCAUAUGAAGU
This 30-nucleotide non-coding RNA is filed under the name Mus musculus (house mouse). The record is from RNAcentral. Lineage: Eukaryota; Metazoa; Chordata; Mammalia; Rodentia; Muridae.